Molecule: ribosomal RNA, 449 nt
Filed under: uncultured bacterium
Lineage: Bacteria
Description: partial 16S ribosomal RNA
Rfam family: Bacterial small subunit ribosomal RNA
Source: RNAcentral
AACGAACGCUGGCGGCAGGCCUAACACAUGCAAGUCGAACGCCCUAGCAAUAGGGAGUGGCGCACGGGUGCGUAACGCGUGGGAAUAUGCCCUUGACUGCGGAACAACGUCGGGAAACUGACGCUAAUACCGCAUAAUGUCUUCGGACCAAAGAUUUAUCGGUCAAGGAUUAGCCCGCGUCUGAUUAGCUAGUUGGUGAGGUAACGGCUCACCAAAGCGACGAUCAGUAGGGGGUCUGAGAGGAUGAUCCCCCACACUGGGACUGAGACACGGCCCAGACUCCUACGGGAGGCAGCAGUGAGGAAUAUUGGACAAUGGGCGCAAGCCUGAUCCAGCCAUGCCGCGUGAGUGACGAAGGCCUUCGGGAUGUAAAGCUCUUUCAGAUGCGAAGAUGAUGACGGUAACAUCAGAAGAAGCCCCGGCUAAAUUCGUGCCAGCAGCCGCCGUAA